This 72-nucleotide transfer RNA is filed under the name Camelus bactrianus (Bactrian camel). It matches the Rfam family "tRNA". Rfam says of the family: Transfer RNA (tRNA) molecules are approximately 80 nucleotides in length. Their secondary structure includes four short double-helical elements and three loops (D, anti-codon, and T loops). The record is from Rfam by way of RNAcentral. Lineage: Eukaryota; Metazoa; Chordata; Mammalia; Artiodactyla; Camelidae. RNAcentral also lists the same sequence under 1 other name.
GAAGGCAGAGCUCAGCGGUAGAGUGUGUGCUUAGCACGCACAAGGUCCCGGGUUCAAUCCCCAGUCCCUCUG